CCUACGGGAGGCAGCAGUGGGGAAUAUUGCGCAAUGGGCGAAAGCCUGACGCAGCGACGCCGCGUGAGGGAUGAAGGUCUUCGGAUCGUAAACCUCUGUCAGCAGGGAAGAACGGUCACUGUGCUAAUCAGCAGUGAAUUGACGGUACCUGCAAAGGAAGCACCGGCUAACUACGUGCCAGCAGCCGCGGUAAUCCGGAGGGUGCGAGCGUUAACCGGAAUUACUGGGCGUAAAGCGCUCGUAGGCGGUAUGUCAAGUCAAGGGUGAAAGCCCCGCGCUCAACGUGGGAACUGCCUUGGAAACUGGCAAACUGGAGUGUGUGAGAGGAUAGUGGAAUGCCAGGUGUAGGAGUGAAAUCCGUAGAUAUAUGGAGGAACAUCAGUGGCGAAGGCGACUAUCUGGCACAUAACUGACGCUGAGGAGCGAAAGCGUGGGUAGCAAACAGGAUUAGAUACCCCAGUAGUC
This 465-nucleotide ribosomal RNA is filed under the name uncultured bacterium. RNAcentral's name for it is "partial 16S ribosomal RNA". It matches the Rfam family "Bacterial small subunit ribosomal RNA", at positions 338 to 795 of the family's 1533-position model. The record is from RNAcentral.